Long non-coding RNA from Antechinus flavipes (yellow-footed antechinus), 4769 nucleotides. RefSeq lists it as uncharacterized. The transcript has 2 exons. The record is from RefSeq and is a predicted model, not a curated record. Lineage: Eukaryota; Metazoa; Chordata; Mammalia; Dasyuromorphia; Dasyuridae.
CCUCAAUAUUUCCUGCAAGAAACUAUGGGGGAGGGGAGCAGUGCCGGCUAUACCAUAAGCAAAUAAAACCACUUUUCAUGAUGUAGCUAAGUCAUCGAGAUCAGUCUGGGAGUCAGAGCCAAGAACACCUAAUUCACUUACACUCUGCCAAGAGCAAGAUCCUUAACCAAGAAGCAAAGAGUUUCUCCAGCAUUACAAUUUGGAGGUCCCACCGAGAUAAUAGAAACUGAGAAUUGGAUUAGAGAUUAGAGACCUCUCCGUCUCCACCUAGGCCUGAGGGGGGCUCAGGACCUGGGUCUGUUCCUUGAGAAAAAAAGGAAGCGGUUCUUCAGCCUCAGUCCGGCCUACAGUGGACAACGAAAUCGAUUCGGCAUUCGGGAAAGUAAGUCUGUCUGGGUACCUUUUGGGGUACCAUCUGGUUCUGGUUCUGGUUCUGGUCUGUUCUGUUGUUAGCAACCUGUGGUCUCAGAAUAAAUACCGACGGGUUUAAAAAUUCUGAGACGGGUAUUUUCUGGGACGCUGGAAAAUAUCCUCUGGGUAUGUUAUAUGUUUGCUUAAUGUUGUAACUGUGUAGUCUGUGUGAUAUAUGUUCUAUGUUCUGUGUGGUUUGUCUGUUAUGUUGUUGGUUGGAAAACAACGUUGCAACUGUGCAUAGUAAAUUGGAGCUCCAUGUUUGUUUGUGUGUGUCUGUGUUAAAAGUUAAAAUAAGCUUGUAAGAGAUAAGGAUUCAGCCUCUGUGUUGCAGGCUUAGAAAAUAUCAAGAAGUUUGAAAAAUCUUUCUCUCUCUCUGACUGACUGCAGCAGCCUGUGAGAAGAAGGGAGAAAAGGGAGAGAAAGGAAGAAAUUAAAAAAAAAAAAAAAGGAAAUGAAAAAAAAUAGAUUGAAAGGGAUUUGAAAGUUCGGAAAGUUAUAAUAUAUAUGUAGAAGAGCAGGUGCUAACAUUUAAAGGAAAGACAUUUGAAUGGAAUAUCUAGGCAUUCUCUGUGAAGGCAGAGUAAAGCACUAAAUGGGCUUGGAAGUUCACAGAAGCCCCUUUGGAUUCUGGAAUGGGAAAAAGGAAUUCAAGGUGAAACAAACUUCUCUCUGGGGGUGGAGGUCCUGGAAACAGCCCCUAGUCUGUUUGCUGAUUUAAGAGCUUUGUUAAGUUUUAAGAACAAUGAUUAAGAAAUUUGGGAAUUAGUUGUUUGAAAAAUUUGCUAGUGAUUUUAAAUUUUUUUUAGGAAAAGCCUACUAGAGUAAAGAGCAAUAAAAUUCAAGCUUAGCCUGGCCUGGGCAAUAAAAAGCUCUGGAGAUAAGAUGCUAAUAGCUGUUAGAAGAAAUGUGGUGGAAAAGAAAAAAAAAACUUUUAAAAACAGCUGUAUUAGUUUGAUUCAGUUUGUUACCUUUUGAAAUAUAUUGAGUUAUUUGUUAACAUAAGUUAUACUUUAAAACCAGCUCUGCUGGACACAUGUGAGUUUUGUGGAGGUUUGGGUUAUUCACUAUAGGGUGAAUCUUACAGGUUUUUGAAGGGAAAAGGAAAGAGGAAUGCAGGUGAUUUAGGAAGGACUGAUUUGUAAGGGAAAUUAAAGGUUUGCAUGGUGUUAGGAAGGUGAAAGAAAGACUUUUGGGAGUAGGUGAAGAGGUGGGGGAGGGAGUCACCCACCCCCACUGCCUUCUGCUACUUUACCAAAGGAGCAUCUGGGAAGGAAAGUUCUUUAAGGAGAUUGUUUAAGUAUGUAGUCAGGGGGAAAGAGAAAGUUGGAAAUGGGUGGAUUUUGGAAGAAACCUGAUAUUGGGAAACUGAUGGGUUAAAUCUUGAAAAGGAUCCCCAUGUAGAAAAUUGAGUGGGGAACCUGAGGGAAGUUUUUUCUAGGGGGUCAGGAUUGGAGGAAGGAUGGCCACGUGGAAUCCUCUCCUUCCCUCACCCCCCUGAGUAUGUUCCUGCCGUUUUUUUUCUUAUCUGAUUGCGGGAGUGCAGCUAAGUGUGAUUUUUAAGGACAUACUUACUUUUAGGUUAAAUUGAUUGAAUACUUGUUUUUUUUGAUAGAUAAAAGUUUUCUUGGUUGAGGAAUAUAGUCGUAAAUGUGAUCCAUACUUUGGUACGAAUAUUUCUAAGAGUUUAAUUGCUAUGUUAAAAAAACCUUCUUGAAUUCUUUUAUGUGGAAUUGGGUUUUUGUAUAAGUUUAAAUUGAUUGUAUUGGGUCAUCCUGAGGUUAUUUAAAAGGCCUCUGAACAUAAUAGUUUUUUUCUUUGUCCUUUUGAAAAUGUUUCUGUUAUGGGCAAUAUGCAGUUUGGGAUAUUUUUCUAUGUAUUGGGUAUUUUAAAAGCAAACUGAUUUGUAUGUAUAAUGUUCACUCAUGUAACAUCUACCUAGAUAUGAUAAUUGUUCUAAGUUGUGAACUUACUGAGACGAAAUUUCUUUGUUAUUACUGUAAGGUUAUGGUAACUCUUUAAGAUUUAUCAGAAAUUUGAUUAAUGACAUUUGUUAUUGGAGGUAAAAGUUUUUGGGCUUAGAGUUAAUUAGCUAAUGCUAUUUGGGAGUUUUAAAGCUCCACCCUGUGACAGUUACUGGGACAAUUGAUUGAUAAGCUGUUAAAACUCAACUGCUUAUGUUAUGUUAUAGUUAUGUUCUUGAAUUUUUCCUUCUGUAACUGAUCUCUCUGAUCAGAGCAAUGGUCAAUAGAACUGUUACUGCAAUUCAAUUAUGUCAUGCUUUGCUAUUUUCAGUCUGGUUAUAGGUAAUCAUUGUAUCCUAAAUGCUUGGGCAACUAUUUCGCCUGGUCAUCUGUCUGUUACUGGAUAUUUGUGUUUUGUUUCUUUAAGGUUUCUACAUGAUAAGUGGACAAUUAACAGGGGUCUGUAAGACUGCAGCCAUUUGCUUGGCCUGUAAAGCAAACUCGUCUCUUCACACAGGAAACUGCUGGCCAAUCCAUUUUGGCCUCCUCAUGUUUUGCAACAGUCUGGUGAACUGAGUCUAUCUGAGACUGAUCUAAUCUUUAUGUGUUAGAUUUGUGUUUUGUUCUAGAUUUUGGUCAAAUUACAGAUAUUGACUUGCUUCUGGAACCUGGAUCAGCUUUGAUCAGCUUUGAUUGCCAGCAUGACACACCCACUCUGCAAGGAAUGAGAGCCUCCUGUCAUUUCAUAGCCUGAAGCAGCAGUUUUAAAAUGAGACCAUGGACUGGACCCUGCAUCGACUGUACUUUGGACUGAUAUGAGGGACUUUGGGAAUGGUUGAUGACUGACUGUUAAACCUUGCCUGGAUUAUCUAUUUCUGUGUGUUUAAGAUUUGAUAUGGAUUUGUUAAAACUAUGUAAUUAUUGCUGUUAUGUUUGAGGGCUUUUUAGGAAAUGCUACUGUAUUAGUCUGUUAUGUGUAGGGAUUUUGAUUUGCUCUUGGGAUUUAUAUGGGGAAUGGUCAUUUGAUAAUUCCUUUCCGUGAGAAAAAAAAAAAAAGGGGAGGUAGAGAUAGAACAUUGGGGAAACUGGUAUAUUUUUUUCAAAAUACCUGAAAGAAUGGGAACCCCUAGCUCCUAUUCACUUUGCCUUAGGCAUUUCUGCCCCACCCCCUGUCUCACUAGUUCAGAUUGAAUUUGGAUGCUUUAGUUUUAGAAUCCCUUAUUUUGUUAAAAGUGCCCUGGCAGACUCAGUUUUUGAGAUUAUUUUUUUUAGAAAAGUUUUAGAAAUCAGACACCUGUUGUGACACUGGCAGUCUCUCUGAUCUAUUUUUCCAUUCCUGUAACCCCAGUUCAUUAAGUAUUUCAGCAUUUCAAAGGACCUUGACGUUUGGCUUGAAGCACCUAAAAAGUUUGGAGUUUGCCUGCCUUGAUGGUCUAACUGCAUAAUCUGCUCAGAAAUCUGUAUUCUAAUAGCAGUCCUGUUUCUCUGGGUGGGGACGGAUGGAGCUACUACAAGCCUCAUCCUUCCCUCAUGGAGAGGGCUGCCUCUCUGACUGGGCCUUGGACCCUGCUGCUUUGUAAGCAGAGACUGAGUUAAGUGCACAAAUGACCACAGACCUAACUGUCCAUCUCAAACUGGAUUCUCUGGCUGAGAUGGUGCUCCAGAACUGGAAAGGACCUGACAUGCUUGCAACAAGGGAGCCUUUGUACAACUGUUAACUCUGGGGUUAUCAGGGAGAGACUUGCUCUCUUGCCAUACGAGUCCUUACAUUUUUUCUAGUUUUAUUUUUGGCUCAUUUGCUUUACAUAAGGUGGGUCAAAGACCUCCUGGGUACCUAGAGGAAGGUGCUAAGAUUCAAAGGUUUGAAUAUUUAGGAGAGAGAAUGUGGAAUGUUAUGCCACAGUUCUCUUUAACUGUCCUGACUCAGUUUCCCUGUCUCAGUUUCCUUAACUGUUCUGUCUCUGACCCAGUAAAACUAAGGAUUAUUCGCUCUCGGGUUAUAAAUUAGCAAGAUAAAAGAGUAGCUCUCCUGACUCUUUUAUGGAUUUACAAUAUCCCUUAAAAUAUUCCAAGAUAACCCACGAUAUCUUUACUUCUUUGUCUCUGGAAUUUUUAGGUUUUAUGGCUUCCCCUCCCUGAUAAAAACUUUCCCUCCCUUUCUCUUCUUUGUCUCCAAAAAGGUAUUUAAGAAGUUGGAGUUCCUCCAUUCAUUGCUAGAAAAUGGCGUCUGGCAGCUGUAUGCUGGACGCUGGAUUCUUUGGGUCCUCCAGCCCUGGGACCAAUAUGGAUUCCUUGGUCCCAGUAUACUUAUCUCUGUCUGACUGGAUAAUCUGAGACGAGAGUCCUGUCCAGUCAAUCUUACUCUCCCAUUAAUAAAAUAUUAAAACUCUCUAA